UGAGUGCGAGCUGCUACGGCAGCGAAGUUGGUGACGUCAUGCUUCCAAGAAAAGCCCUAUACCCGUUAAGGCAUCAUGGCCUGUACCCGAAACCGACACAGGUGGGGUGGUAGAGAAUACCGAGGGGCGCGAGGUAACUCUCUCUAAGGAACUCGGCAAAAUGGCCCCGUAACUUCGGGAGAAGGGGUGCCACCGCAAGGUGGUCGCAGUGAAGAGGCCCAGGCGACUGUUUACCAAAAACACAGGUCUCCGCUAAGUCGCAAGACGAUGUAUGGGGGCUGACGCCUGCCCAGUGCCGGAAGGUUAAGGAAGCUGGUCAGCGCAAGUGAAGCUAGCGACUGAAGCCCCGGUGAACGGCGGCCGUAACCAUAACGGUCCUAAGGUAGCGAAAUUCCUUGUCGGGUAAGUUCCGACCCGCACGAAAGGCGUAACGAUCUGGGCGCUGUCUCGGAGAGAGGCUCGGCGAAAUAGAAUUGUCUGUGAAGAUGCGGACUACGUGCACCCGGACAGAAAGACCCUAUGAAGCUUUACUGUAGCUUGGUAUUGUGCCCGGGCUCGCAAUGCGCAGGAUAGGUGGGAGGCUUUGAUCAUCGGCUUGCGGGUCGAUGUGAGCCAACGGUGAGAUACCACUCUUUGCGAGCUAGGGUUCUAACGGCCACCCGUCAUCCGGGGGCCGGACAGUACCUGGUGGGCAGUUUGACUGGGGCGGUCGCCUCCUAAAAGGUAACGGAGGCGCGCAAAGGUUUGCUCAGGCUGGUUGGAAAUCAGCCGACGAGUGUAAAAGCAGAAGCAAGCUUGACUGUGAGACCAACAAGUCGAACAGGGAGGAAACUCGGCUUUAGUGAUCCGACGGUUCUGAGUGGAAGGGCCGUCGCUCAACGGAUAAAAGUUACUCUAAGGAUAACAGGCUGAUCUCCCCCAAGAGUUCACAUCGACGGGGAGGUUUGGCACCUCGAUGUCGGCUCAUCGCAACCUGGGGCUGAAGUCGGUCCCAAGGGUUGGGCUGUUCGCCCAUUAAAGCGGUACGCGAGCUGGGUUCAGAACGUCGUGUGACAGUUCGGUCCAUAUCCGGUGCACGCGCAGGAAUAUUGAGAGGAUUUCUCCCUAGUACGAGAGGACCGGGAGGAACGCACCUCUGGUGUACCAGUUAUCGUGCCAACGGUAAACGCUGGGUAGCCAUGUGCGGAGUGGAUAACCGCUGAAAGCAUCUAAGUGGGAAGCCCACCUCAAGAUGAGUAUUCCCAUGGCGUAAGCCAGUAAGGUCACGGGAAGAACACCCGUUGAUAGGCUCUAUGUGGAAGCGCAGUAAUGCGUGAAGCAGAGGAGUACUAAUAGACCGAGGGCUUGACU
This 1350-nucleotide ribosomal RNA is filed under the name metagenome. RNAcentral's name for it is "bacterial LSU rRNA". It matches the Rfam family "Bacterial large subunit ribosomal RNA", at positions 1564 to 2925 of the family's 2925-position model. The record is from RNAcentral.